RNAcentral lists this long non-coding RNA (1014 nucleotides) under Androctonus crassicauda. Lineage: Eukaryota; Metazoa; Arthropoda; Arachnida; Scorpiones; Buthidae. The record is from RNAcentral.
UUUUAAUAGAAAUUUGACAUUUUUAGCAUGAUGAUGUCUUAAAAGACAUGAAAAAUUUCUAUUAAAACAUUAAGCUUUAAUAUAGCAUUACAUAUUUAGCUACUAAUUAUAGAAUGACUAUUAUCAGAAUUUUUUAGCUAAUUAGUAAUUGUUAAAAAUUCUUAUCAAUAAAUUAUAUUAAACCUACUUCGAAAAGAAAAUCCAGACAAAAGAAAAUUCCAAAAUUCAACUAUUAUUAUAAUUUUAAAUUCUUGAGAUAAGUGUUCCUCAAAAAUCAUUUGUACAAUGCAAUCUGACUAAUUCUACAUUAGAUUUAUUCCAAUUUUAUAUAGUCAGGUGAUGGACUUCACUCAUUCACAAUUGAUCACUACUAGCAUGUGUAUGAAGAUAUGUCUACAUAUAUACUUCAAUUGGCUGAGCCCUCUUUAUCAAUCAAUUGCAUACACUAGCAGUAAUGAAACUUUAGUGAUUUUUAUUUUUGUAGCAAAUAACCAAUGGGCACUAAUGAAUAUAGUGUUCUUUCUUAUAACAAUAUUCCAAUUGGAUCUAAAUUUAAUAAAAAUCUAAAUUUUUAUUAAAUUUUCGUCACCUAUAAAAUAUGAGCUGAAAGUUAAUCAAAACUCAAAUCAAAAUAUAAAAAAAUAUAACUUAAUAAUAAAUAAGUAAAUAAAAUCAUGACUGAAAAUAAAUAUUGUCCAGUUAGUCACCUCAUACUUGUGUAGAAAAAGAAAGUAUAAAUAAAAACACUAAAAGAGAAAGAGAACUCUUUAAUUGUCCCCUUAUGAUGAUAUUUCAGAUAGUGAAAUUCCACCAUCAUUUGUUUGAAUACAGUAUUCAUCAAGCUAUCCAAAAAAUAAAAUUGAAACAAUGUAGAUAUAUUUCUAUAACAUAAACAUAUUGUGUGCCAUAUAAUUAUCUACUUCAGGGGUCAGCAACGUGCGGCCUGUUGCAAAUUUUUAUACGGCUCGCCAAGCAAUAUAACUUUUAUAUGGUAAACUAAAAAUUAGGAAGACA